This 235-nucleotide ribosomal RNA is filed under the name uncultured bacterium. Its description in RNAcentral is "partial 16S ribosomal RNA". It matches the Rfam family "Bacterial small subunit ribosomal RNA", at positions 118 to 351 of the family's 1533-position model. The record is from RNAcentral.
UGAGCAAUCUGCCCUUCUCAUCGGAAUAAGCGUUGGAAACGACGUCUAAUGCCGAAUACGACCUCCUUUCGCAUGAUCGGAGGUGGAAAGCUCCGGCGGAGAAGGAUGAGCUCGCGGCCUAUCAGCUAGUUGGUGUGGGUAACGGCCCACCAAGGCGACGACGGGUAGCCGGCCUGAGAGGGUGACCGGCCACACUGGGACUGAGACACGGCCCAGACUCCGUACGGGGAGGNAG